Mytilus californianus (California mussel) is the source of this 584-nucleotide long non-coding RNA. RefSeq lists it as uncharacterized. The transcript is spliced from 4 exons. The record is from RefSeq and is a predicted model, not a curated record. Lineage: Eukaryota; Metazoa; Mollusca; Bivalvia; Mytilida; Mytilidae.
GCCAUUUUGUAUAAAACCUGGAAAGCCCAAUCUCUGGCACUCAUCACGGAUUCAGAGAUUAAAGAAACUAAUCGAAAUAUUUACUUGAAAAAAAUGAAGUCAUUGAUCGUUCUGUGCUGCGUUGUGAGUGUAAGCUUGGCCUUCCCAGGGAUAUUUUCAGCACUCAACAGAAGAGAAUCUACACCAAGUGUUGCAGAAGCUAUUAGAAAAACUACUUCUAUGGUAAACAAGAGAACAAUUGAAAAGAGAAUGGAUUCCGUACAAAUGGCUUUUCAGUGGAUUGACACUGACAACAAUAAUCACAUCAGUGGUGAAGAAUUUUCUACUUUUUAUGCUAAUGCUGAUAUACCUGGUCUUUCAUACAGCAAAUCCGAGUGGUUAACUAUGUUCAACCAAGCCAUGACUCUUAUUGAUACAAACGGAAAUAACCAAUUGGAAAUUGGAGAAUUUCGUACCCUAGCAAGUAUGGGAAUGGGAAAAUAAAGAAAAGGAUUCAUCGAUUGAGCACUCUCUUCAACUUUAACUAAUACACCGAUUGCAGAUUUGAAGAAAAUAAAUAAUCAUUAAAAGUUUCAUUUACAUCU